RNAcentral lists this ribosomal RNA (569 nucleotides) under Macroctopus maorum (Maori octopus). RNAcentral's name for it is "partial 16S ribosomal RNA". The stretch from base 443 to 569 matches the Rfam family "Bacterial large subunit ribosomal RNA", at positions 2473 to 2599 of the family's 2925-position model. Lineage: Eukaryota; Metazoa; Mollusca; Cephalopoda; Octopoda; Octopodidae. The record is from RNAcentral.
GUCUCUUUGAGUUUUAUUAAUAAGAGUUGGGCCUGCUCGGUGAGAAUAAAAUUUAAMGGCUGCGGUAUUAUAACUGUACUAAGGUAGCAUAAUAAUUUGCCUUAUAAAUUAGGGCUAGAAUGAAUGGUUGACGAAAAUUAGACUGUCUCUAUUUUAUUUAUUGGAAAUUAAUUUUUAUAGUGAAAAAGCUGGAUAAUUUAAAGGGACGAGAAGACCCUAUUGAGCUUGUAUAUUAAUAUUUAAAUGUUAGAUGGUUUAUUUAUUAUAUUGUUAAUAAAUGAAUAGAUUUUUGUUGAUUAAUAAGUAUGGAUGUUUAAUUUAAUUAAUUUUGAUUGGGGUGAUCAAGGAAUAAAAGAAAAGAAAUUUAAUAACUUCCUUAAGUUUUGAAAUGUUUAUUGAAUAAUAACCAAAUUUUUUUGCUUAUAAGAUAAGUUACCAUAGGGGUAACAGCGUAAUUUUUUUUGAGAGUUCUUAUUGAAAAAAAAGAUGCGGCCUCGAUGUUGGAUUAAAAAUAACCUUAAGGUGUAGAGGCUUUAUUAGGUGAAUCUGUUCGAUUUUUAAAAUUUUAC